GCAGCCGCGGUAAUUCCAGCUCCAAUAGCGUAUAUUAAAGUUGUUGCAGUUAAAAAGCUCGUAGUUGAAUUUUGGAUUCUGCCAUUUGGUCCAUCUUUUAGAUGAGUACUGAGUGUGUAGGGUCUAUUCGCCUGGUGAUACGUAAUGUCCUUUAUUGGAUGUUGCGGGUAGUCAGGACUUUUACCUUGAAAAAAUUAGAGUGUUUAAAGCAGGCUUAUGCCGGAAUACAUUAGCAUGGAAUAAUAGAAUAGGACGAAGUUGUUUUAUUUUGUUGGUUUCUAGGACAACCGUAAUGAUUAAUAGGGAUAGUUGGGGGCAUUAGUAUUCAAUUGUCAGAGGUGAAAUUCUUGGAUUUAUUGAAGACUAACUACUGCGAAAGCAUUUGCCAAGGAUGUUUUCAUUAAUCAAGAACGAAAGUUAGGGGAUCGAAGACGAUCAGAUACCGUCGUAGUCUUAACCAUAAACUAUGCCGACUAGGGAUCGGGCGAUGUUGUUUCAAUGACUCGCUCGGCACCUUAUGGG
This 522-nucleotide ribosomal RNA is filed under the name uncultured Glomeromycotina. RNAcentral's name for it is "SSU rRNA". It matches the Rfam family "Eukaryotic small subunit ribosomal RNA", at positions 570 to 1094 of the family's 1831-position model. Lineage: Eukaryota; Fungi; Glomeromycota. The record is from RNAcentral.